Equus asinus (donkey) is the source of this 102-nucleotide Y RNA. It matches the Rfam family "Y RNA". Rfam says of the family: Y RNAs are components of the Ro ribonucleoprotein particle (Ro RNP), in association with Ro60 and La proteins. The Y RNAs and Ro60 and La proteins are well conserved, but the function of the Ro RNP is not known. Lineage: Eukaryota; Metazoa; Chordata; Mammalia; Perissodactyla; Equidae. The record is from Ensembl.
GGCUGGUUUGAGUGCAGUGGUAUUUUCAAUUAAUUGAUCACAGCUAGCUACAGAUUUCUUGGUUCUUUCUCCACUCCUAUUGCUUCACUUGACUAGCAUUAA